GGGUUUGUAGUGCUAAUGGUAACACACCUGCCUUGCAAGCAGGAAUUAGGGGUUCGAUUCCCCUCAGAUCCACCA
This 75-nucleotide transfer RNA is filed under the name Lachnospiraceae bacterium. RNAcentral's name for it is "tRNA-Ala". It matches the Rfam family "tRNA". From Rfam's summary of the family: Transfer RNA (tRNA) molecules are approximately 80 nucleotides in length. Lineage: Bacteria; Bacillati; Bacillota; Clostridia; Lachnospirales; Lachnospiraceae. The record is from RNAcentral.